UGAGCUGUCUUUCGGGUCGGUCGAUCACGGUGCUUGAGAAGGAGGCCUACUUCUCAGUACCUUUGAUGAUGAUGAGUUGUAGGUGUGGUACAUACAUGACGAGUAUUUUGACAGCUGUCGUUUAUUUAUGAUGUUUAUGAUUUUAACUGCUUGCACAGGUUCUUUUAAGAUAAAAUCCAUGUGUAUUGUUUAUGGCGGGCAAGUUCAAUUUAUAGCUCUAAGAGCAAGCUUUCAUUUGUUUUUCGGCAUAUGUCCACUGUGUAUUCUGUAUUCAGUUACAUGCAUUUCUAAACGUGCAUGAUAGGCAAGGAAGGAGAAUGGACUGCUGGUGGGGCUUAUGUUCUGGAUAUUUUCCUUAUCGUAUUUUUAUUUCUUACGGUAGUAUCAUGAUGUUGGAGUUUAUCUUGAACUUGAUCGAGAAAUUUACUCUCAGCUAUAUGUCUUCAUACAUAUAGUAUGUUCACAUUUUGUUGCGAUACUCUGCAUAAUAUGAACCUUUGUGAAUAUUUAACUAUGUCCUCUUUGUAAAUGUUGACGAGAAUCCCGAUGCUUUUGAAGUUAUGAAGCAGAUAAUAUUUAUAUUAAUAAUGAUGUCAUCUUUCUUGAUUUUAUCACGAUUCAGUGUUAGCUUCCGCUUGAUGAUCAAUCUAGUUUUCCCUAUUUACCUUAUUCUUGUAUUUAGUCGUAUCGUACCCAGUCUAUGCUAUCAUUGGCUAGACGUCGAGCUGCGACGGGUAUUUCCAAAGCCUCGGUAUCUCCAUGCAAAGUAGGCCGAAUCGAGUUGAACUUGUGCGGCAAAAUAUCCUAUUUUUUAAUGAUAGCAGGGGCUGCUAUUGAAGCGUAGGAGGCCUUGGUAGUGUG
Molecule: long non-coding RNA, 861 nt
Filed under: Salvia miltiorrhiza (redroot sage)
Lineage: Eukaryota; Viridiplantae; Streptophyta; Magnoliopsida; Lamiales; Lamiaceae
Description: long non-coding RNA (SMIL_LNC005930)
Source: RNAcentral